Molecule: ribosomal RNA, 777 nt
Filed under: uncultured Neocallimastigales
Lineage: Eukaryota; Fungi; Neocallimastigomycota; Neocallimastigomycetes; Neocallimastigales
Description: partial large subunit ribosomal RNA
Rfam family: Eukaryotic large subunit ribosomal RNA
Source: RNAcentral
CGUCUAUAUACGUAUAGCAUAUCAAUAAGCGGAGGAAAAGAAACUAACAAGGAUUCCCUUAGUAACGGCGAGUGAAGCGGGAAGAGCUCAAAUUUGAAAUCUUCAAGGUUUUACCUUGACGAAUUGUAGUUUAAAGAAGUGUUUUCUGUUGGUGUUUUGGUAAAAGUUCUUUGGAAUAGGACAUCAUAGAGGGUGAGAAUCCCGUAUUUGACCAUUACUUCCAGCGUUGUGAUACACUUUCAAAGAGUCGGAUUGUUUGGGAAUGCAGUCCAAAAUGGGUGGUAAAUUUCAUCUAAAGCUAAAUAUUGGCGAGAGACCGAUAGCGAACAAGUACCGUGAGGGAAAGAUGAAAAGAACUUUGAAAAGAGAGUUAAACAGUACGUGAAAUUGUCAAAAGGGAAGCGUUUGACACCAGUGUUGUUUUUCUCGAAAAUCAAUUAAGAAUGGCUUGAUUUUGUGUUGUAUUGACCUUAUCAGCUUUCUGCACUUUUUUCGAGUCUUUCUUAAUGCACUUUUUCGGUUAACAAGUCAACAUCAAUUUCUUUUGUUGUAAAAGGGUAUGAGGAAGGUGGCUUUCUUUUCGGAGAAAGUGUUUAUAGCCUUGUGCCUCUGCAAUCGGAGAGAUUGAGGUCUGCAGCGUAGAUCCUUCGGGGUUAGAUACAUUUGUGCUAAGUUAUAGCCUUUUCAUAGACAACUUGUUGACUAUGUUUAGUCUUGUAGCUUACUCGCUGACGCUAUUUUACCUACGCUUAGGAUGUUGACUGAUAUGUAGUCGUA